This 443-nucleotide ribosomal RNA is filed under the name uncultured bacterium. RNAcentral describes it as "partial 16S ribosomal RNA". It matches the Rfam family "Bacterial small subunit ribosomal RNA", at positions 338 to 795 of the family's 1533-position model. The record is from RNAcentral.
CCUACGGGGGGCAGCAGUGGGGAAUAUUGGACAAUGGGGGGAACCCUGAUCCAGCGACGCCGCGUGAGUGAAGAAGUAUUUCGGUAUGUAAAGCUCUAUCAGCAGGGAAGAAAGAAAUGACGGUACCUGACUAAGAAGCCCCGGCUAACUACGUGCCAGCAGCCGCGGUAAUACGUAGGGGGCAAGCGUUAUCCGGAUUUACUGGGUGUAAAGGGAGCGUAGACGGCGAUGCAAGUCUGAAGUGAAAGGCGGGGGCCCAACCCCCGGACUGCUUUGGAAACUGUAUGGCUGGAGUGCAGGGGAGGUAAGUGGAAUUCCUAGUGUAGCGGUGAAAUGCGUAGAUAGUAGGAGGAACACCAGUGGCGAAGGCGGCUUACUGGACUGUAACUGACGUUGAGGCUCGAAAGCGUGGGGAGCAAACAGGAUUAGAUACCCCUGUAGUC